Molecule: long non-coding RNA, 914 nt
Filed under: Pan troglodytes (chimpanzee)
Lineage: Eukaryota; Metazoa; Chordata; Mammalia; Primates; Hominidae
Description: long non-coding RNA NONPTRT006690
Source: RNAcentral
GGGGAUAUUCAGAAACAGAAAAUAACACCUGCUUUCUCAUUUCCAGAGCUAUCAGCUUCCCAGUUUGCACAAUUCAUCAAGAAAUUAUGCGGGGUCACUGGCACAAAUGAUGAGGCAUCUCCUGGGAGCUUAACUUCUUAUCCAUCCCAUCUCUUGGACAGAUGAUGCCAGUUAAUUACUUUGAAUAGAAGACUCACUGGUGGCACCUGCAGCUGCGGCGUUUUCCCCAAGGGGUCUGUCACACGCAGCCCAACUCAACUGGAGUCCUGAGAAGGUGAACAGACCAGGAUGGAUGCCCAGGGAACUCACCAGAAGUCCCCAGGCAUCAGAACAAGGUCGAAACAUCCUGGUGCUCACCUUCUAGCACAUUCUUCAAGAGUGACUCUGAGGCAAGCCAGCCGCCAUGUCAUGAGGACACUCAAGCAGCACCAUGGAGAGGUCCGAUGGCGAGGAACAGAGGAUCCCCCUGCCGACAGCCAAUGAGGAACAGGCCUCCUGCCAACAGCCGUGUAAGGGGUCACCUUGGAAGCCAAUGGCCCCUCCCUGGUCAGGCUUUUACAUGACUGCAGUCCUGGCCAACAUCCUGACGGCAACCUCAUGAGAGACCUUGAGCCAGAGCCACCCACCUAAGCUGCUUCUAGGUUCCUGGCCCUCAGAAACCACGACAAACCGGAGAAAGCCAAAUAUGCUCCCCUAACCAAUUACUUAGGAUGCCCCUCUUCUAAUGAGCCCAACUGUAGCUUUCCUGCACCACCAACAGGACGUACCUGAAGCCUUCUCCUUUUUCCGCUAUAAAGCCUUCCCCUCGACCUGCCUUUGAGUCUCCAUGAAAAGCAAGUGACAGUGGCUGCCUCCCUUACUGUAGCAAGCUCUGAAUAAACAGCCUUUGCUUGCUCUCAUGUGAGUGGUCUUUG